AUACGUAGGGGGCGAGCGUUGUCCGGAAUGAUUGGGCGUAAAGGGUGCGCAGGCGGCCGUGCAAGUCAGCGGUGAAAGCCCGGGGCUCAACCCCGGAAGUGCCGUUGAUACUGCAUGGCUGGAAUGCGGUCGAGGCGGGCGGGACGGGGGGUGUAGCGGGGGAAAGCGAGGAAAUGCCACAGAACGCCGAUAGCGGAGGCAGCUCGCAAGGCCUGCAUUGACGCUCGGGCACGAAAGCGUGGGGAUCGAACAGGAUUAGAUACCCUGGUAGUCCACGCCGUAAACGAUGGGCGCUCGUCGUCGGCGGCAGACAGUCGGCGGCCAAGCGAAAGCGAUAAGCGCCCCACCUGGGGAGUACGGUCGCAAGGCUGAAACUCAAAUGAAUUGGCGGGG
Molecule: ribosomal RNA, 393 nt
Filed under: uncultured bacterium
Lineage: Bacteria
Description: partial 16S ribosomal RNA
Rfam family: Bacterial small subunit ribosomal RNA
Source: RNAcentral